RNAcentral lists this transfer RNA (67 nucleotides) under Arcynopteryx dichroa. Its description in RNAcentral is "tRNA-Trp". Lineage: Eukaryota; Metazoa; Arthropoda; Insecta; Plecoptera; Perlodidae. The record is from RNAcentral.
AAGGCUUUAAGUUAAAUAAACUAGUAGCCUUCAAAGUUAUCAAUAAAGUAUGUAUCUUUAAGCCUUA